RNAcentral lists this ribosomal RNA (314 nucleotides) under uncultured bacterium. RNAcentral's name for it is "partial 16S ribosomal RNA". It matches the Rfam family "Bacterial small subunit ribosomal RNA", at positions 499 to 807 of the family's 1533-position model. The record is from RNAcentral.
UUAUAAGAGACAGCAGCAGCCACGGUAAUACGUAGGUGGCAAGCGUUGUCCGGAAUUAUUGGGCGUAAAGGGCUCGCAGGCGGUUUCUUAAGUCUGAUGUGAAAGCCCCCGGCUCAACCGGGGAGGGUCAUUGGAAACUGGGAAACUUGAGUGCAGAAGAGGAGAGUGGAAUUCCACGUGUAGCGGUGAAAUGCGUUGAGAUCGGAAAGAACACCAACGGCGAAAGCACUCUGCUGGGCCGACACUGACACUGAGAGACGAAAGCUAGGGGAGCAAAUGGGAUUAGAUACCCGUGUAGUCCCUGUCUCUUAUAC